RNAcentral lists this ribosomal RNA (422 nucleotides) under uncultured Bacteroidota bacterium. RNAcentral describes it as "bacterial SSU rRNA". It matches the Rfam family "Bacterial small subunit ribosomal RNA", at positions 355 to 774 of the family's 1533-position model. Lineage: Bacteria; Pseudomonadati; Bacteroidota. The record is from RNAcentral.
UGAGGAAUAUUGGACAAUGGACGAAAGUCUGAUCCAGCCAUGCCGCGUGAAGGAAGACGGCCCUCUGGGUUGUAAACUUCUUUUAUAUGGGAAUAAACCCCCCGACGUGUCGGGGGCUGAAUGUACCAUACGAAUAAGCACCGGCUAACUCCGUGCCAGCAGCCGCGGUAAUACGGAGGGUGCAAGCGUUAUCCGGAUUUAUUGGGUUUAAAGGGUCCGUAGGUGGGAUUGUAAGUCAGUGGUGAAAUCUUUCGGCUCAACCGGAAAACUGCCAUUGAAACUACAGUUCUUGAGUAUGCUCGAUGUAGGCGGAAUAUGUCAUGUAGCGGUGAAAUGCAUAGAUAUGACAUAGAACACCGAUAGCGAAGGCAGCUUACAAGCGCAUAACUGACACUGAGGGACGAAAGCGUGGGGAGCGAACA